UCUGGAUCUACUAUCCGGACCGUUCCCUGCUGAAGACUCGACGUCGGCAUCUGGGCUAUCCGCACCUCCACAGCCACCGUCGCCGACACCAUCAGCACAGCCAGCAACCACAGACAAGCCGCGGACAUCGCCCCGGAUACCAAAACAAAAAGAAAGAAAUACUUGUGUGUGUGUGUGUGUGUGUGCAUGAAAAGAUCACCCGGAACCCGGAAAUCAGACACGACCGGGAAGUCAUCCGGACCCUGUGGAUGCUGAUCAUUCAUUGAACUCCAACUGUUCAACGACGAUCAGUCAGAGGUCGAAGGAGUAGGGCACCCGCUCGUUGAUUCUUUAACUCACCAGACGCCUCAGCUGAUAGGAGAUACAAAGACAACGAGCACGCCACACCUUCUACCUGUCGCUUCAACACCAACACCAACACCAACGUUUG
Molecule: long non-coding RNA, 430 nt
Organism: Synchiropus splendidus (mandarinfish)
Lineage: Eukaryota; Metazoa; Chordata; Actinopteri; Syngnathiformes; Callionymidae
Exons: 3
Source: RefSeq, a predicted model, not a curated record